Molecule: RNA transcript, 2512 nt
Organism: Beta vulgaris subsp. vulgaris (sugar beet)
Lineage: Eukaryota; Viridiplantae; Streptophyta; Magnoliopsida; Caryophyllales; Amaranthaceae
Exons: 15
Source: RefSeq, a predicted model, not a curated record
AGUGUUCUGAGUCACAAAAUGGUGAAAUUCACUAUUCCUUUUAGAUGGACAAUCUCAGCCAUUCAUCACCACUCAAUCUAAACCGCACGAUUUGUCUCGGACCCCUUCUCCUUUGGCUGCAACUUCUUUCUCUCACUCCACUCACCGUCACUCUCUCUCUCAUCUUCUCCAUCUUCCAUCUUCCAUCUUCUAGAUCUAGAUGUAGAAAAAUUAGGGUUUUGGCUAUGGCUGUCACAAAAGCUUGCAAUUUCUUCACUGUUACGACGACUCGGAGCGAUCUUCUCCUCUUCUUCACUUCGUCUCUCUCCUCUCUCAUCUUUUUCACGUCGUCUCUCUCCUCUCUCAUCUUCUUCAUGAUUCUCUCAUCAAUCUUUCUCCCAAUUUUUCACUGCUAAUUAUUUCGUUAAUGUUAUAUUGGUUUCUUUGAUGAUUUUUUCGGGUUAAUUUAUUCUGAAAUUGAGUAAUUUUAUGGUUAUUAAGGUUUCGUUUUUGAUUUUUUUUUCCAGAGAAUUGUGUAAUUUGGGAGAUGAACAAAGAUCGACCAUUUGAUCCUCUCGAUUUCUUCAUCUGAACUGUUGAGAGAAUUGUGUAGUUUGGGAGAUGAACAAAGAUCGACCAUUUGAUCCUCUCGAUUUCUUCAGCUGAACUGUUGAGGGUUUCAGAACAAAGGCUGGCCGUCUGAUCCUCUCGAAUUCUUCAUCUUCAUCUAGACUGUUGAGCAGAUGGUUCUUAAUGGCGAGCCGCAACAUGCAAGACAAGUUGUAAAGGUCUUGAGCACUUGCUUAUGCUCCAAUAGACAACGCUGAAAGGGAGUGAUGCAUCUACUGCUGAGUCGGGAUAUGAAGUGGAAGAUAUUGCUUCGCCUAGGGCAGCAAGGAAUUCCUCACAUUUGAGAUUCACCCCUGUUCGUGAAAGAGGGCUGAAAGUAGUAAAAUUGAGAAGAUUAUAGGCAAACAUUUAUGCUGGAGUUGCGGCGGAUCGAAAGCACGAGUGAGUAUAUGCAGUUGGCAGGAAGUGAUCACAAUAAGAGUGUUGUAGUGGAGAAAGGAGGUAGAAAUAAAGUGGUCAGGCUCUUUGGCAGAUUUGCAAAUUGCAACGGAUACUCGGAGGUCAAUUUUCAAGUGUUAUGUUGAAUUGUUAAACCGCUCUCUCUCUCCUCUUUCUUUCAGUGUGCUACACGAGAUGCAUCCUCCAUCAGUCCAUUGACAUUGCACCAGCACCCUAUGUGUGCUGAAGUAGCACGGAUACGGAUACGGAUACGGGUACGGGGACGGAAAACGGCAAAAUCAAAAUUUCUGAAAACGGCAAAGAAAAUUUCGAGUAUGACUGGACUGAGUGCCGAGCAUUUGGACUGACUGCCGACGAUGACCGGCGAGAUGACCGGCGAGACGACCGGCGAGAAGGAGCAACGAAGAACUUUGAAGGAGUUUUCAGUUCAGGUCAUUGAGGCAUUCCAGAAAUGUCAUGGAGAUCACCCUUUUGGCAAAAUUUGCGGCAAGUGCACUGAGCUCAAAAUUAAACUUGAUCGCUGCUUUAUGCAGGAGAGCAAGUUAUAGCCUGUCAUAGUAAGGAUCCUAUCCUAAGUUACUUGUACUUGAUGAUAAGAAUAGUCCAUUAUCUACAGAAGACUUGCGUUUAGAAAAUUUCGUCAAGACAAAGAAGCAAUGGAGGUUGUGUCUGCCUAAAGCAUAUCACUCUCUUUUACUUCAGCGACAUCGACAUAAUAUGCGGGAAGCCAAGAAGGAUGUCGCUAAUGCUAUUGAUUAAAUAAAUUAUAAGAGGGUGACCUUUGGUUUGCUAACCCAGAGUGGGACGUCAAUCGGGAGAAUUAAGUCAAAAAGUUAUCGAUUGAAGCUUGAAUUCAUCUUAUGGAAAAUGGCAACGUAAGCAUGAAGUCAAGGGAUGGACCUAGCAAUGUUGGACGACAUUAACGGACGACUUUUGGAGGUUUAGUUUCUAGGGUUUCCGUCAUUGUUAUUGAUAGAUUCGACGACUAUUGCAUCGCUUGUCGUGAAACUUUGAUGCGUCAAACCUUAUCUAUCUCUUUCUCUUCUCUUUUCCCAUCGAGUUCUUCCACCAACCUGAUCACAAAGGUAAAUUUCUUCGAUUUUUCUCGCAAUCUUCCGUUUUUAGGUUUUACGAUUUUACUAAUCUUUGCUGUAAUGUCUGUAUAAGUCACAAAGUAUGUACAGAUUCAGGAGAUGCAGGAGAUUGUCAAUUAUCAUCCACUUCACUAGAGAUUCAGGAGAUGCUAACAAAAUAUUAAUUUGGUUUCUUUUGGAGUCUCUGGUUGGUGGUCAAGAAAAGUGCAUGCUUUGCCGAGCACCCGCUGACUGUCACUGCGUCAGCACUUACAACUUAUACCUCGAGUAUUAACAAUGAGCCAAGGGUAGUUUAAACAUUCAAACAUCAUGUAAAAUGAAUCCUUUUAUCUUCGUUUCUUUCCUCUACAAUAUGCAUUUUCUUUUAUUUAUAUAAUAAAGUCGUAGAGACGAUGUUUUUUUGAUGAAAA